Molecule: small nuclear RNA, 22 nt
Filed under: Arabidopsis thaliana (thale cress)
Lineage: Eukaryota; Viridiplantae; Streptophyta; Magnoliopsida; Brassicales; Brassicaceae
Description: snRNA_06284
Source: RNAcentral
AUGUGUAUAGGGAGACUAAUCG